This 444-nucleotide ribosomal RNA is filed under the name uncultured Fusobacterium sp. Its description in RNAcentral is "bacterial SSU rRNA". It matches the Rfam family "Bacterial small subunit ribosomal RNA", at positions 338 to 796 of the family's 1533-position model. The record is from RNAcentral. Lineage: Bacteria; Fusobacteriati; Fusobacteriota; Fusobacteriia; Fusobacteriales; Fusobacteriaceae.
CCUACGGGAGGCAGCAGUGGGGAAUAUUGGACAAUGGACCAAAAGUCUGAUCCAGCAAUUCUGUGUGCACGAUGAAGUUUUUCGGAAUGUAAAGUGCUUUCAGUUGGGAAGAAGUCAGUGACGGUACCAACAGAAGAAGCGACGGCUAAAUACGUGCCAGCAGCCGCGGUAAUACGUAUGUCGCAAGCGUUAUCCGGAUUUAUUGGGCGUAAAGCGCGUCUAGGCGGCUUAGUAAGUCUGAUGUGAAAAUGCGGGGCUCAACCCCGUAUUGCGUUGGAAACUGCUAAACUAGAGUACUGGAGAGGUAGGCGGAACUACAAGUGUAGAGGUGAAAUUCGUAGAUAUUUGUAGGAAUGCCGAUGGGGAAGCCAGCCUACUGGACAGAUACUGACGCUAAAGCGCGAAAGCGUGGGUAGCAAACAGGAUUAGAUACCCCAGUAGUCC